CCUACGGGAGGCUGCAGUCGAGAAUCUUCCACAAUGGGCGAAAGCCUGAUGGAGCGACACCGCGUGCAGGAUGAAGGCCUUAGGGUUGUAAACUGCUGUCACGCUAUAGGAACCCCUGGUCGUUAAUAGCGGCCAGGCUGACCAAAGCGAGAGGAAGCGCCGGCUAACUCCGUGCCAGCAGCCGCGGUAAUACGGAGGGCGCAAGCGUUGUUCGGAUUCACUGGGCAUAAAGAGCAUGUAGGCGGCUCGCUCAGUCAGGUGUGAAAGCCCACGGCCCAACCGUGGAACGGCACCUGAUACUGGCGAGCUCGAGGACGGAAGGGGUGAGUGGAACUCCAGGUGGAACGGUGAAAUGUAUAGAUAUCUGGAGGAACACCGGUGGCGAAAGCGGCUCACUGGUCCGUCUCUGACGCUGAGAUGCGAAAGCUAGGGUAGCGAAC
Molecule: ribosomal RNA, 440 nt
Filed under: uncultured bacterium
Lineage: Bacteria
Description: bacterial SSU rRNA
Rfam family: Bacterial small subunit ribosomal RNA
Source: RNAcentral